This 492-nucleotide ribosomal RNA is filed under the name uncultured bacterium. RNAcentral's name for it is "partial 16S ribosomal RNA". It matches the Rfam family "Bacterial small subunit ribosomal RNA", at positions 29 to 507 of the family's 1533-position model. The record is from RNAcentral.
AGUGAACGCUGGCGGUAGGCCUAACACAUGCAAGUCGAACGGCAGCACAGUAAGAGCUUGCUCUUACGGGUGGCGAGUGGCGGACGGGUGAGGAAUACAUCGGAAUCUACUUUUUCGUGGGGGAUAACGUAGGGAAACUUACGCUAAUACCGCAUACAACCUACGGGUGAAAGCAGGGGAUCUUCGGACCUUGCGCGAUUGAAUGAGCCGAUGUCGGAUUAGCUAGUUGGCGGGGUAAAGACCCACCAAGUCGACGAUUCGUAGCUGGUCUGAGAGGAUGAUCGGCCACACUGGAACUGAGACACGGUCCAGACUCCUACGGUAGGCAGCAGUGGGGAAUAUUGGACAAUGGGCGCAAGCCUGAUCCAGCCAUACCGCGUGGGUGAAGAAGGCCUUCGGGUUGUAAAGCCGUUUUGUUGGGAAAGAAAAGCAGCAGGUUAAUACCCCGCUGUUCUGACGGUACCCAAAGAAUAAGCACCGGCUAACUUCGUG